UACGUAGGCGGCAAGCGUUGUCCGGAUUUAUUGGGUUUAAAGGGUGCGUAGGCGGCCCUGUAAGUCAGUGCUGAAAUAUCCCAGCUUAACUGGGAGGGUGGCAUUGAUACUGCGGGGCUAGAGUACAGAUGAGGUAGGCGGAAUUGACGGUGUAGCGGUGAAAUGCUUAGAUAUCGUCAAGAACACCUAUAGCAAAGGCAGCUUACUAGGCUGUAACUGACGCUGAGGCACGAAAGUGUGGGGAUCAAACAGG
RNAcentral lists this ribosomal RNA (253 nucleotides) under uncultured bacterium. RNAcentral describes it as "partial 16S ribosomal RNA". It matches the Rfam family "Bacterial small subunit ribosomal RNA", at positions 524 to 776 of the family's 1533-position model. The record is from RNAcentral.